GAUGAACGCUGGCGGCGUGCCUAAUACAUGCAAGUCGAGCGAACAGAUGAGGAGCUUGCUCCUCUGACGUUAGCGGCGGACGGGUGAGUAACACGUGGAUAACCUACCUAUAAGACUGGGAUAACUUCGGGAAACCGGAGCUAAUACCGGAUAAUAUAUUGAACCGCAUGGUUCAAUAGUGAAAGACGGUUUUGCUGUCACUUAUAGAUGGAUCCGCGCCGCAUUAGCUAGUUGGUAAGGUAACGGCUUACCAAGGCAACGAUGCGUAGCCGACCUGAGAGGGUGAUAGGCCACACUGGAGCUGGACCACGGUCCAGACUCCUACGGGAGGCAGCAGUAGGGAAUCUUCCGCAGUGGGCGAAAGCCUGACGGAGCAACGCCGCGUGAGUGAUGAAGGUCUUCGGAGCGUAAAACUCUGUUAUUAGGGAAGAACAAAUGUGUAAGUAACUAUGCACGUCUUGACGGUACCUAAUCAGAAAGCCACGGCUAACUACGUG
RNAcentral lists this ribosomal RNA (497 nucleotides) under uncultured bacterium. RNAcentral's name for it is "partial 16S ribosomal RNA". It matches the Rfam family "Bacterial small subunit ribosomal RNA", at positions 28 to 507 of the family's 1533-position model. The record is from RNAcentral.